UAAAAUUUGAGGAUUGGAAGUUAGCUAUACAAUAUUUUGACAAAGAUAUGUAUCUGUUUAAGUUUGAUUUAAAAUCUGGUUAUUUUCACUUAGACAUAUGCUCACAGCAACAGACUUUCUUAGGUUUUCAGUGGGAAGGUCAAUUUUAUUGCUAUACUGUUUUAGCUUUCGGAAUUACUACCGGUCCGUACAUUUUUACUAAAUGUUUGAGGCCACUAGUAAAAUUUUGGCGUGGAAACGGUAUAAAAGUUGUUUUGUAUUUAGAUGAUGGAUUUGGCAUGAGUCCAGAUGAAAAUACAUGUAAUGAGCAAUCGUCCUUCGUAAAAAGGUCUUUGAUUGAUGCUGGUUUCCUUAUUAACGAGGAGAAGUCUGUUUUUUAAACCUGUUACCGAGUUAGAAUGGUUGGGAAUAGUUUGGAACUCGAAAGAAUACAAAUUAUCUAUUACUCAACGUCGAGUUGACGAUUUGAUUUUCUCAUUGAAUGUAAUUUUGGCUAAAUUUCCCUAUGUUACAGCUAGAUCUUUAGCUCAGGUUGUAGGUAGAAUUAUUUCUAUGACUCCCGUAAUCGGAAAUGUGGCUAGAAUUAUGUCAAAGUUCUGUUACAUGGAAAUUGAAAGUAGAAUUGGGUGGGAUAUUCCCAUUACAGGGUACAAACCCGUCGAGGUUUUAUCAGAGUUAAAGUUCUGGUUAGAAAAUGUCACCAUGAUUAACUAUCGUAAUUUAUGUCAUUACAGUAAAUCUUCUGUUGUCAUAUACUCAGAUGCUAGUAAUAUUGCCGCUGGUGCAUACACCGUUGAAUUAGAAAAUAAGAUUUUCCAUAAGAUGUGGACAUGUAGUGAAACGGUACAAAGCUCCACAUGGAGAGAGCUGAAAGCUAUAGAGUUGGCCCUUUUUUCUUUUAAGAAUAGUUUCACAGGAAAAACUAUAAAGUGGUUUACUGACAAUCAAAAUUGUGUCAAAAUUGUUAAUUCGGGAAGUAUGAAAGAAAAUCUUCAUGUUAUAGCAAAAUCUAUUUUUUCAUUUUGCAUUCAAAAAGGAAUAUCAAUUGACAUUCAAUGGGUUCCCAGAAAAGAAAAUGAAAAGGCUGAUUAUAUCAGCAAAAUGGUUGAUUUCGAGGACUGGGGAGUCACACAUAUAUUUUUCAAUUUUUUAAAUGAUAUGUGGGGUCCUUAUUCGAUUGACAGGUUUGCAAGUGUCGAAAAUAGAAAAGUUAUGAGAUUUAACUCCUUAUUUUGGCAACCUGAUUCUGAAGCAGUUGAUGCAUUUUCUCAAGUUUGGACCAAUGAAAAUAAUUGGCUAGUUCCACCAAUUAAUCUUGUGAUACGAUCGAUUAAACACAUUAUAGCUUGUAAAGCUCGAGGCACGUUAGUUGUGCCUAAGUGGAUUUCUGCUGCAUUCUGGCCUUUGAUAUUCGAUAAACAUCUGAUUUAUCAAGAUUACGUAAAAGAUGUUAUUGUGUUUAAAAAUACUGAUGGUAUUUAUAAGCAAGGUUCGAAUAAGAAUACGAUAUUCGGAAUUGAACCGUUUGGUUCGCCAGUUUUGGCUGUUUUGCUAGAUGCAUCUUAGACAUGGCCCUAAUAUAUAUAGAUAUAUUUUAGCAGGCAUGGUCUGUUUGUGACAUGGCCCUAAUAUAUAUAUAGAUAUAUUGUAGCAGUCAUGGUCUGUUUGUGACAUGGCCCUAGUAUAUGUAUAUUGUAGCAGGCAUGGGUGUUUAUGUUGACAUGGCCCUAGUAUCGGUAAUGAUAUUGUAGCAGGCUUGGUUUUUUAUUUGACAUGGCCCUAGUAUCUAUAAUGAUAUUUUAGCAGGCAUGGUAAUUUGUUUUACAGUUUAUGGCCCUAGUAUCUAUAAAGAUAUUGUAGCUGGCGUUGAAAUAUUUGAAUAUAUAUUAUAUUUUACUGUGUAUAGAAAUCUGAAAUAUGCUAAUAAUUCGUCCUCUGUAUAUGUAUAUAAAAUGUUAUUGCAAUUUUACGUUUUUCAGAUAUUUUUUCAGUAGGACAUUGGUCAGACUUUAAUUCACAAGUUGCCUCUAAUAAUGAUCUCAGCAGUUUGUUCAAACAGUUACCAGAAUUCCUUCUUUCGUCCAAGGCUGCGAGUACUCAGAAGAAAUAUAGAUAUGCCUUCAAUUCAUGGUAUUGUGUUUAUAUGUGAUGGCAGCGGUCGAUGACAGCAAAUUGGACAUUUGUUUAUUGUUUAUAAUAAAAAUAAGCUUUCUGUGCUGUCGGGGCGAGCUGAUAACCAAAAACUGUGUUGAGUUUUUACUUUGUAAAUGCUUUAUGUUCGUUUGAAGUAUUGAAUAAGAACA
This is an RNA transcript of Mytilus californianus (California mussel), 2303 nucleotides long. RefSeq lists it as uncharacterized. The transcript has 2 exons. NCBI's taxonomy places the organism in Eukaryota, Metazoa, Mollusca, Bivalvia, Mytilida, Mytilidae. The record is from RefSeq and is a predicted model, not a curated record.